Taeniopygia guttata (zebra finch) is the source of this 3807-nucleotide non-coding RNA. NCBI's taxonomy places the organism in Eukaryota, Metazoa, Chordata, Aves, Passeriformes, Estrildidae. The record is from RefSeq and is a predicted model, not a curated record.
GCUUAGGCAAGUACUGAUAGGGUGCGUGAGCAGCAGGGAUGGAGUCCUGGCCAAGGAUAUUAAUAAUGUCCAGGAAUGUUGUGUGCUGCCCCAAGUUUUAGCCCAGAGGGGUCAUACAGCGCAGCUCAAAGGGAUUAGCUUAACCUGAGGCUAAGCUGCUCAUUUUUGCUGGUAUUUCCCUUGACCCUAGUCAAUUAUUUCAAUUCCUUGAAUAGUUUUUGUUGUUUGGUGCCUGGUUUGUUGUUCCUUUGCAUUGUGAUGUAUGGAGUCAGCAGGACCAGAGAGAGUCUGUGCUCUCCUUCCAGGCAGGGCUGGCAGUGCCUCGGGAUGCAGCCCAGGGAGGGUGAGAUCCACAGGGGCUGCAGAGCUGCAGGAGCGUGCCAGCGGGUUGUGGGUGCAGCAGCAGCAGUGACCUGGGGAGGGAUGCAAGUCCAGCAGCUAAAGCACAGUGAGGAGAAGCAUUAAUGAAGAUGGGGGGCUUUCUGCACUGCACGGUGGGGUGCACCUGUAGAAUGUGCCCUCAUGUCCUCGUUCACCUCAGUGAAUUUGAGUUGGUGUAUUGGAAAUGCAGGGAGGACUCUGUCACCUCUGCUGGCAGCCGGGGAGCCUGGAGCCGCGUGUGUUUGGGGGGGGGCUCUGUCCCCCAGCCCUGAGCUGUCUCUGCUGCAGGAUCCAGGUAGGCAGGAGUCACCUUGAGCGAGCUGCUGGGAACGUUUCCCCCUGCAAAGUCAGUGCUGGGGAUGCACCAUUUCUCUGGGGGCACCUCUGGCAGCUGCUGCACCCCGGAGUCCAUGGUGGGGGGGCUGAAUUUCGGCAGCACAGACGAGGGGAAGGUUCUGGGCUUGGCAGGUGCUUGGAGAGGAGCAGCAGCAGUGGCAGGUUUUGGCCUCAUUCCUCCACCGUGGAGCUGCCUCAUGCUUCUCCUCCACUUGCUGAAAUUAAGCAGAAAUCCCUGUCUUUAAAAUCCCUUUUCAGUUUGGGGGAGUGGUUGGCCCCAGGGACACAGAGGCUCGGGAGGUGAACCAUGGCCCCGUCACAAACCAGGGCACUCUGAGUCCUGGUGCCUUUUGCUGGCGGGUUUUCUGUGACAGAGCCUGAAACUGGACCAUUGCUGAGAUGUGGCACAAGUGGGCCUGGAUGGGGGCAAGCUGGGGGUCUGCCCCUCCCAGCCUCCCCAUAAAAGGCACCCACAAAUGCCCCAUUGCAGUUUGGCACGUGUUGUCCCCCCUCUUUGUCACAGAAAAGACAGCUUUGGGCUCUUGGUUGCAGAAGAGACAGCUCUGGGGAAGAAUACUUGCACUUUUUUAAUAACCUAUUUCUAUAAUUGAAGGAUUUUAGAUUUCUUUUGUAAGAGCAAGCGCCUGCUUAAACAUGGAGACAAAUACAACCAAUAAUAUGUACUUGAAAUUUAAUGCAGGCUAAUUCAUUUUGGCACAGUCCCAGAUAUGCUGAUUAAAUGGCCUGUGAAGUGCUACAAUAUCUUGAUAAUGUACAUUCUACAUUUGAUUAUAUAAUCAAUUAUGUUGCACCUAAUAACAUUUAAAAUUAGUGGAAAAGCCGUGAGCAGAUUGUAUCAGGUGCAGAGUUGGUCUUGGGCAGCUUUAGAAAAACUUCUGCCGGCAUAGACUGCAAAGGAGCAGGCGUAGAUGGAUCUUCAAAUACUCUUCUUCAGGAAACCAGAGACUUGAUAAAAUUUCUAAAUUUUAUCAAGUUGAUUUAGUGACUUUAAAUUUUGUUAAUUUAGUGACUUGAUUUAGAAUUAAAUAAGCUGUCUGCUGCUCCCCUGGUUUGCUGCUGGGAAAGGGACUAAUAUUUUCUGUCUAGAGAUGACCUUGCAGCACGUGUUCAGAACAGCCCCGGUGAUGUUGGCAGUAAUUCUGUGCUGGCUUUGGCCCCUGGGCCAGACCCAGAGCUCAGCUCUGCCUGUGGGGCUUUUCCUGCACCCAGCAGUGGGAACCAGAGCUCCCCUUCACUGGGUGUUCCUGCCUGGGGAGCCUGAGUGCUCAUUGCUGGGGACAGCCGGUUCCUCCAUGUAUGUGACAUUUCUCUGUGCAGCGAUCCCAGCCGUGGGCACUCCCUGCUCCAGAGGGAUGCCCCACCUGGGUGAUCACUGAGAUGGGCAGCCAGGAUCAUCUGGCAAAUGCUUGUCAUCCGUCUGGGGAGAGUGAGUGCUUUUUGGGUGACUGGCAAUGGCAGGUUAGGGGAAAUUUGUCCUGGGUUUUAUGGCCCUCCAGUAGAAGAGGGUUGAUGGGAAACAAAUGCGUUAUGGCCCCAGACAAGCUGUUGCUCCAUUUUUUGUUCUGUUUAAAGCAGCGCUAUCAACCAGUUGGAAUAUAGGCUUGGAGUAUCGCAGGGAGUAAUCUAAUUAGUAUGAAGUCAAUUCACUAGUUCCUUUUGUAUCUCGUGAUUAAAUAAGUGGGAAAAUGGCUUGAAAAUUAGGUGCUAGAACAACCCAAUUACAUUUCUGUAGCUUUUUGUAUUCAAUUUCAUAAACAAUUUUGCUCUUCGCUGGUUAAUCAGUGAAUGCCUUUUUCCAGUUUGAAAAGCACUUUUGAAAUUAUAAUGCAAUUAAAUUGUGUGUGGAUGUUCUGGCAUAGCGAGCGUGAGGGCUGGGGGCCUGGCAGCCAGCCACGCUCUACCUUGACAGUAAUGAGUUCCUGAGCUGGCAGCUUGCUGGUGUCAUUCAUAAUAUUGUCCAGGCUGGGGUGCAGGGAGAGGCUCUGCCCCUUCCCAGCCGGGUGGCCGAUCCUCGGCCGAGCUGGUGGCGCUGGCAGAGGCUCAGCGGGCACAGCCCGUGUGCCAGCACCCACCAGAGUUCAUCACAGAGCUGCUGAGCAGUGCCUGGGCGCUGUGGGCUUCCUCCUUUAUUUUCCCCCUCUUUCUUAUUCUCUUCUGAUACGAGCCUUUGCAAGGCUGGAGGCUGGCGAGGGAUGUGGGGGAUUGAGUGUUGUUUUCCUGUGGUGGGUAGGAGAACAUCUCAGUGUCCUGUUCUCAGAAUCACAGGAUGGUGUGGCGUGGAAUGGACCUUAAAGCUCAUCCAGUCAGAGUUUUUCAGCACUUGCUUUUUGUGCAGUAUUUGUCUCGUGGUGAGUGGGAGCUCAGUUCAGCCUCCUGGGGAAGGGUGACCAAGCCUGCCUGAUCCCAGGAUUUACGGCCGAGCAGCACAAGGGGAGAGGCAGAAAGCUGUGUUAAGGGAAAAAGAAAUAGUGCUGGAAAUAAUGACUUGCUUGGCAGGUUUUAACAAGUUCAGUAAUGGUAUUAGGUGCCCUUGGCUCAAGAUAGUAACCUCCUCUUAAAUGAUCAUUACCUGGCUAAUAAAGAGCUCAGAGUGGGUCAUUACAGCUUAAUUUAGAUGUAGCAUCCUGUUUGGUUUGCACAGCGUGGCCAUCUCUCAAGUUGUUGGAUCUAUUGCCUGAAUAUGAGGUGGGGACGUGGGAUUGCUUGGGUUUUCACACAGGGACUCUCCCCCAGCCAUCCCAGGACACAGGUGUCCCUUCCCACCCUCACCUGGGAGAGAGGAGCUGGCCUCAGCACCGGGUGACCACAGCCAGGCAGGAAGAUGUGCAGGACUGGGGGGUCCAGCCUCGAGUCCCCCACACUGUCCCAUCCUCUGCUCCCUCCUGGUGAGCCCUUGUGCUUUUCUCACCCCAUUAGCAGCAAGUUUCAUGUGCAAAUAAUUACAAUAACCAGCCCCCACACGUUAUUAAUAUUUUGAAGACAUCUCUUUGAUAAGCCCAUCUUUUCAGCCAAUUUCCUAUUUCUUCAGAAAGCAAAGCAUCUUUCCUCCCAGUUUUGUAAAUCUGUUGU